Molecule: long non-coding RNA, 647 nt
Organism: Phalaenopsis equestris
Lineage: Eukaryota; Viridiplantae; Streptophyta; Magnoliopsida; Asparagales; Orchidaceae
Exons: 3
Source: RefSeq, a predicted model, not a curated record
CAAUUGUAGGGCAUCCAUGGGCCGUGGGGAAUUAAAAAGAUCAAACCAGAGCUACAUUUGCUACUUCUAGUCGAGCUGCACCGUUAUUUCGAUGACGAACUCAUCGGAUCGCCGGCGAGCACUGUGUAUCGGAGAGAAUCACAUUGGCGGAGACUACGCUGGAUGGCAAGUUCUUCAACGCCCGUCAUGAGGACUUUGUGGUUCUUUGGGGGUCCAUCCGAAGACUCUGCAACUAUUCCAUAGUCCUAUCUCUAUCAACCAACUUACGGUCAAGUUCCGUAAUGUGGAUGAAGCCAACAUAGACUUCGUUGACUUGUCGACCUCUCGGAGAUGCUGCCUCAACACUGUGUAGGAGAACCUGAACUGCAUAAAGUUGGAGGAGCCAGAUCGAUCAAGGAUGCCGACUUUAUAUCAAUGAACUGGCAAUUUAGGGGAUGCCUCUCACUAGGGGUUGGGAUGUGUUUCAUACAAAAGGGAAAAUUGAUCGCCUAUGCUUCAAGAUAACUGCUACUUAUUAUUAACAGCAAGAAUCUUUAGUAGGCCUCUCCUGCCAAAGUUGCCUGCGCCUGAAACUGCUAGAAAUCAAUAGCAAGAAGCAUUUGGGGCAGUGACAAGUUUAUUAGAGGCAAUGCUUAUUGCUGUACAGU